AUCAUAUGUGUUUUAAACAUGUUAAAUAUGUGCUUUUACUUUUCUUAGAUUAAUUGUAGAUUAAAUUCAACCACGAGACAAUGCCAUGAAGAGAUUAAAGGACAACCUAUGUGGUUGGUUCAUGCCUCAAAAAAAUAAAGUUAUGGAUGCCCCUUCGGGCUCCUCUGACAACAAUGACAAUGUGAGAAGUGACCCAAAUGAACUGACAUCAGGAAUCCAUCAUGGAGUCACCCAUGAAAGCACUUCCCUGAAUAAUCUGACAUCAGUAUCCUCUGAAGGAUUCACCAGUGAACACACUGCCUUGACUGAACUGACAACAGGAAUAGCUGAUAGAACCAGCACUGAAAGUUAUGACCAAAGCCAGUUGGAAGAAGUAAUUUGUGUUCAAGCUUUUGAAGGGUGAGAUAUAAAUAUGUAUAGAUAGAGUGGGGGAUGGGGUGGGUAUUAAGAUUUGUGAAAUUUACCUUGGUGGUAUCUAUAACAUAUCUUACUUUGUCUAUUUUUAAUCCUUUAGCACUUCCCUGAAUAAUCUGACAUCAGUAUCCUCUGAAGGAUUCACCAGUGAACAGUGAGAUACAAAGCAUAAAUACAUAUAUGUACACACACAUACAAAUGCAUACGGAUACAGAGUGAGAUUUGGGACGUUCACCCUAGGAGCACCCAUGGGAAUACAGAGUUCCUUUGAUAGUAUUUCUAAAGUCCUUUCUAAAGGACUAAAUUUCUAAAGUAUUUCUAAGGACAGAGUUUCUUUGACACUUUAAAGGCUUUUUUUCCCUCUUUUUUCCAGCCUCAGUAUGUAACUUUUUCUCUUUUGGAUCUAUUUGGGGUGGGUGGGUGGAGAACAGGUCAUAUAAGGGAGAAUUCCUACCCCUGGUCUGUUAGUUUUCUUGUUUAGGAUCAGCCAAAACCCUUAUAAAGUCUCAGAUUGCCUGUGAAUAAGAGUCUACUAGACUAGGCGAGGAGAGAACAGAGUUGUAUUUGGGGUGAGGAGAAGGUAGUAGUGGACAGAGAGCAAAGGAGCCCUCCGCAGAAAAAAAGGAUCUAAUAGACCCUGGAAGUGUCCCUCCCUCUCCUGAGCUCAGCCACCAUGCGAGGCUGGUGCCCCAAACCCACCAUCAUGUCAGAAGGAGCCCCUACCUUGUCCUGACCAUGUCUGAAGGGCAGGAAAGAUAUCUAUGAUUUGUGAAGGAUUAGUAGGUGGUGUAGGGGCUGGAGAAGGCAGAAAAUUACAGGACAAAUGAGAUGAGUACCUACAAACCGAAGUUGAAUUUGAAAUGAGUUGACUCACAAAAUGGUAUUACACUUGGACAUUAGGUUCAGGAGUGAAGAAAUGUACAUACAUUUAAGUUUUUUCACAGGACUAAAAUUUCAUUGCAAAUAUGGAAAGUUCAUUUCUAAAGAAAAAUUAAAUACCAGGCUUCAAAGAACGGAUUAAAAUGUUACUUUUAGGGCAACUGGAUUAUAAACUGCAGAGUAGUAUUGCUCAUUUGCAUUCAAGAAUCUAGAAAGACAUAUGGAGCCUUACUAUGUGUAUUUUUAAUCCUUUAGCGGUGACUUAAGUGAAUUGAAAGAAGUAGUCUGUGUGAAAGACACUAAUGAAAGGUGAGAUAUAAAUAUACAGAGGGAAGAAGGGGGAACACUGAGAUUUGUGAGAUCAAAUUAGUUAUGGAGUUCUUGUCUCAGACAGUUAUUUGAAAACUAUCCACAGAGGGGAAAAAAAGAUAUUCAUAAUACAUGAAAAGUAUGGUGGUGCAGGG
This is a long non-coding RNA of Camelus dromedarius (Arabian camel), 1757 nucleotides long. The record is from Ensembl. NCBI's taxonomy places the organism in Eukaryota, Metazoa, Chordata, Mammalia, Artiodactyla, Camelidae.